Molecule: small nuclear RNA, 307 nt
Filed under: Bos mutus (wild yak)
Lineage: Eukaryota; Metazoa; Chordata; Mammalia; Artiodactyla; Bovidae
Description: 7SK RNA (ENSBMUG00000018500.1)
Rfam family: 7SK RNA
About the family: 7SK was discovered as an abundant small nuclear RNA in the mid-70s but a possible function has only recently been suggested.
Source: Rfam by way of RNAcentral
GGAUGUGAGGGCGAUCUGGUUGCGACAUCUGUCACCCCAUUGAUCGCCAGGGUUGAUUCGGCUGAUCUGGCUGGCUAGGCGGGUGUCCCCUUCCUCCCUCACCGCUCCAUGUGCGUCCCUCCCAAUGAAGGUUAAAAAUCUAAUUUUUGCAAACUUUAUAAAACCUAUGACCACGUUUUGAACUCUUGGAACUCUUGUCAGGGUCUUGGAAGGGCCAGGAGGCAAGGGUCCCUAGAAAAUUCUGAGCAAUUGUUCUGUAAACCUUAAACUGCUGUAAAAAAUAAAGUCAAAUUAAAAAAAAUACAUU